This 520-nucleotide ribosomal RNA is filed under the name uncultured Paraglomus. RNAcentral describes it as "SSU rRNA". It matches the Rfam family "Eukaryotic small subunit ribosomal RNA", at positions 569 to 1093 of the family's 1831-position model. Lineage: Eukaryota; Fungi; Glomeromycota; Glomeromycetes; Paraglomerales; Paraglomeraceae. The record is from RNAcentral.
AGCAGCCGCGGUAAUUCCAGCUCCAAUAGCGUAUAUUAAAGUUGUUGCAGUUAAAAAGCUCGUAGUUGAACUUCAGGCCCGGUCGGACGGUCCGCCUUCUGGGUGUGUACUGUCUCGGUUGGGUCCUACCUUCUGGCGAAGCGGCAUGGCCUUAAUUGACCGUGUCGGGGAACCAGGACUUUUACUGUGAAAAAAUUAGAGUGUUCAAAGCAGGCAUGUUAGCUUGAAUACAUUAGCAUGGAAUAAUGGAAUAGGACGAUGGUUCUAUUUUGUUGGUUUCUAGGACCGUUGUAAUGAUUAAUAGGGAUAGUUGGGGGCAUUAGUAUUCAAUUGUCAGAGGUGAAAUUCUUGGAUUUAUUGAAGACUAACUACUGCGAAAGCAUUUGCCAAGGAUGUUUUCAUUAAUCAAGAACGAAAGUUAGGGGAUCGAAGACGAUCAGAUACCGUCGUAGUCUUAACCAUAAACUAUGCCGACUAGGAAUCGGGCGAUGUUAAAAAUGACUCGCUCGGCACCUCAUGG